UGGGGAAUAUUGGGCAAUGGGCGCAAGCCUGACCCAGCAACGCCGCGUGAGGGAAGAAGGCUUUCGGGUUGUAAACCUCUGUCCUUGGUGACGAAAAAAAUGACGGUAGCCAAGGAGGAAGCCCCGGCUAACUACGUGACAGCAGCCGCGGUAAUACGUAGGGGGCGAGCGUUGUCCGGAAUUACUGGGCGUAAAGGGUGCGUAGGUGGCCCGUUAAGUUGGAUGUGAAAUCCCCGGGCUUAACUUGGGAGGUGCAUCUAAUACUGGAGGGCUAGAGUGCAGGAGAGGGUAGCGGAAUUCCUAGUGUAGCGGUGAAAUGCGUAGAUAUUAGGAGGAACACCAGUGGCGAAGGCGGCUUUCUGGACUGUAACUGACACUGAGGCACGAAAGCGUGGGGAGCAAACA
This 405-nucleotide ribosomal RNA is filed under the name uncultured prokaryote. RNAcentral describes it as "bacterial SSU rRNA". It matches the Rfam family "Bacterial small subunit ribosomal RNA", at positions 355 to 774 of the family's 1533-position model. The record is from RNAcentral.